UACGGAGGGGACUAGCGUUGUUCGGAAUUACUGGGCGUAAAGCGCACGUAGGCGGUUUUGUAAGUCCGGGGUGAAAUCCCGGGGCUCAACCGCGGAACUGCAUUUGAUACUGCAAAUCUCGAGUCCGGAAGAGGUGAGUGGAAUUCCUAGUGUAGAGGUGAAAUUCGUAGAUAUUAGGAAGAACACCAGUGGCGAAGGCGGCUCACUGGUCCGGUACUGACGCUGAGGUGCGAAAGCGUGGGGAGCAAACAGG
Molecule: ribosomal RNA, 253 nt
Filed under: uncultured bacterium
Lineage: Bacteria
Description: partial 16S ribosomal RNA
Rfam family: Bacterial small subunit ribosomal RNA
Source: RNAcentral